GACGAACGCUGGCGGCAUGCUUAACACAUGCAAGUCGAACGGAAAGGCCCUGCCGUGGUGGGGUGCUCGGGUGGCGAACGGGUGAUUCACAUGUGAGUAACCUGCCCUUGGCUUUGGGGUAACUACAGCUAACUUGGGCUAAUACGGGAUAGGAGCUCCUACUGCGUGGUGGGGGUGGGAAAGUUUCGGCGGGUGGGGAUGGACUCGCGGCUUAUCAGCUUGUUGGUGGGGUAGUGGCUUACCAAGGCGUUGACGGGUAGCCCGCCUGAGGGGGUGACCGGCGACAAGGGGACUGAGAGAGGGCACAGACCCCUACGUGAGGCAGCAGGGGGGAAUAUUGCACAAUGGGCGGAAGCCUGAUGCAGCAACGCCGCGUGCGGGAUGAGGGCCUUCGGGUUGAGAACCGCUUUCGCCUGUGACCGAGCGUGAAUGACGGUAAUGGGUAAAGAAGCACCGGCUAACUACGUG
Molecule: ribosomal RNA, 468 nt
Filed under: uncultured bacterium
Lineage: Bacteria
Description: partial 16S ribosomal RNA
Rfam family: Bacterial small subunit ribosomal RNA
Source: RNAcentral